RNAcentral lists this ribosomal RNA (253 nucleotides) under uncultured bacterium. RNAcentral's name for it is "partial 16S ribosomal RNA". It matches the Rfam family "Bacterial small subunit ribosomal RNA", at positions 524 to 776 of the family's 1533-position model. The record is from RNAcentral.
UACGUAGGGGGCAAGCGUUGUCCGGAUUUAUUGGGCGUAAAGAGCGUGUAGGCGGUUUGGUAGGUCCGUUGUGAAAACUCGAGGCUCAACCUCGAGACGCCGAUGGAAACCAUCAGACUAGAGUCCGGAAGAGGAGAGUGGAAUUCCUGGUGUAGCGGUGAAAUGCGCAGAUAUCAGGAAGAACACCCGUGGCUAAGGCGGCUCUCUAGUACGGUACUGACGCUGAGACGCGAAAGCGUGGGGAUCAAACAGG